GGGUGAGUAACGCGUGGGUAAUCUACCUCCGAAUUGGGGAUAACACUGCGAAAGCGGUGCUAAUACCGAAUGACAUCUCAGGGACCUCGGUCUCUAAGAUCAAAGGUGGCCUCUACAUGUAAGCUACUGUUUGGAGAUGAGCCCGCGUACCAUUAGCUAGUUGGUAGGGUAAUGGCCUACCAAGGCUGCGAUGGUUAGCUGGUCUGAGAGGAUGAUCAGCCACACUGGAACUGACACACGGUCCAGACUCC
RNAcentral lists this ribosomal RNA (251 nucleotides) under uncultured Desulfobacteraceae bacterium. RNAcentral describes it as "partial 16S ribosomal RNA". It matches the Rfam family "Bacterial small subunit ribosomal RNA", at positions 104 to 339 of the family's 1533-position model. The record is from RNAcentral. Lineage: Bacteria; Pseudomonadati; Thermodesulfobacteriota; Desulfobacteria; Desulfobacterales; Desulfobacteraceae.